GCAAGUCGAGCGAUGAGAUCCCUUCGGGGAAGGAUUAGCGGCGAACGGGUGAGGAACACGUGGGGAAUCUGCCUUCAACACUGGGAUAACUCCGGGAAACCGGGGCUAAUACCGGAUACGAGACCUGCAGGCAUCUGCGGGUCUGGAAAGUUUUUCGGUUGAAGAUGACCUCGCGGCCUAUCAGCUUGUUGGUGAGGUAAUGGCUCACCAAGGCGACGACGGGUAGCCGGCCUGAGAGGGCGACCGGCCACACUGGGACUGAGACACGGCCCAGACUCCUACGGGAGGCAGCAGUGGGGAAUAUUGGGCAAUGGAGGAAACUCUGACCCAGCGACGCCGCGUGCGGGAUGAAGGCCUUCGGGUUGUAAACCGCUUUCAGCAAGGAAGAAGCGAAAGUGACGGUACUUGCAGAAGAAGCACCGGCUAACUAUGUGCCAGCAGCCGCGGUAAUACAUAGGGUGCAAGCGUUGUCCGGAAUUAUUGGGCGUAAAGAGCUCGUAGGUGGUUCGUCACGUCGGAUGUGAAAAUCUGGGGCUUAACCCCAGACCUGCAUUCGAUACGGGCGAGCUAGAGUGUGGUAGGGGAGACUGGAAUUCCUGGUGUAGCGGUGGAAUGCGCAGAUAUCAGGAGGAACACCAAUGGCGAAGGCAGGUCUCUGGGCCAUUACUGACACUGAGGAGCGAAAGCGUGGGGAGCGAACAGGAUUAGAUACCCUGGUAGUCCACGCCGUAAACGGUGGGCACUAGUUGUGGGAACCUUCCACGGUUUCUGCGACGCAGCUAACGCAUUAAGUGCCCCGCCUGGGGAGUACGAUCGCAAGAUUAAAACUCAAAGGAAUUGACGGGGCCCCGCACAAGCAGCGGAGCAUGCGGCUUAAUU
RNAcentral lists this ribosomal RNA (879 nucleotides) under uncultured Actinomycetales bacterium. Its description in RNAcentral is "bacterial SSU rRNA". It matches the Rfam family "Bacterial small subunit ribosomal RNA", at positions 57 to 951 of the family's 1533-position model. Lineage: Bacteria; Bacillati; Actinomycetota; Actinomycetes; Actinomycetales. The record is from RNAcentral.